This 73-nucleotide transfer RNA is filed under the name Ovis aries (sheep). It matches the Rfam family "tRNA". Rfam says of the family: Transfer RNA (tRNA) molecules are approximately 80 nucleotides in length. Their secondary structure includes four short double-helical elements and three loops (D, anti-codon, and T loops). Further hydrogen bonds mediate the characteristic L-shaped molecular structure. tRNAs have two regions of fundamental functional importance: the anti-codon, which is responsible for specific mRNA codon recognition, and the 3' end, to which the tRNAs corresponding amino acid is attached (by aminoacyl-tRNA synthetases). tRNAs cope with the degeneracy of the genetic code in two manners: having more than one tRNA (with a specific anti-codon) for a particular amino acid; and 'wobble' base-pairing, i.e. permitting non-standard base-pairing at the 3rd anti-codon position. The record is from Rfam by way of RNAcentral. Lineage: Eukaryota; Metazoa; Chordata; Mammalia; Artiodactyla; Bovidae.
UCACUGGCAGUCCAGUGAUUAGGAUUCUGCACUUGUGCUGCAGGGGGCCUGGGUUCGAUCCCUGGUCAGGGAA